RNAcentral lists this unclassified non-coding RNA (5611 nucleotides) under Leishmania donovani. RNAcentral's name for it is "gene:LdHU3.02.0170(CDS-product:tRNA_exportin_puta tive)". Lineage: Eukaryota; Euglenozoa; Kinetoplastea; Trypanosomatida; Trypanosomatidae. The record is from RNAcentral.
CGUCACAGAAACCAAUCCGGCGAAGGAGAACCAAGCACGUGGCACUCUUCUCCGUGCAACGUUUCCUCUUGCCGUCUCUCUCUCCCCGCCUACCACUACCCUUUUCCGUUUGCGCCCUCGCUGCAGCGGUGGCGUGGCGGCGAGUAGCACGCAGACAUCGGCACCGCGUGUCAGAGAGGGAGAGCGAGAGGCCCCCCUCCACUCCUCUCCUCCUCCCCCACCCCCAUCGCCUUCCACCACGUAGCUCUCCUCAUCUACCGCCCACCACUACAGCGCCGCCUCCGCGCACACGACGCCGUUAACGAAACUAAUCUGUAACUAACGAUCCCCGCAACCCCUUCUCCCACCAUCCCUACCAGUACCCCCACUGCUGCUAUCAAGAGUGACGCCCAGCUCCCUUUUCGCUGCCGUCCCUGUGCACUCGGCUUCGGCGGCGGCGAAGCCGUGGCUGUCGCAGCGACAAGCAAGCGAGCGAAAAACCGGCGCCACGGCUCGUGCAGGCCGGCAACAACGGCCGGCGGCGGAAUAGCGAGAGGCGCGUAACAGUCGGUGGUGCUCGCUCAUCUCCAUCUAUCUCCUCUCUUUGCGGCUCAACACGUGCACGCGACGUUGUCGGCUUCCUUGCCGUCCCCGUCCCCGCACACGUCUCUCUCCGCCUCUGCCCUUUCUCGCUGCAGCUUUACCGCCUCUUUCGACACGGGGCACGCGCAGCCACGGCGACAGAUAUUCGGGGGUGCGGCUCAAUCAGCUCUGCACUGGCGCGUGGCGCAGUUGGUGCUCGCUUUUAUUUUUCUUCCUCUUGGCCGCUCUUCUUUGGUUGCUGUGUCCCUGUCUCCAUCUUCCGUGCUCCGUCUGCUGGCUGUACGCGUUCACGCCUCUGGUGGGUUGCUGACGUCCCUCCGUCUGGCGCGCUCGUCGGCGCCGCAUUGGGGGGGGGCGUGUGUGUGUGUGUGUGUGUGUGUCGGUGCACACGUGCGUGUGCCGGCGUUGCUCCUCUUUACGGGUGUUGUCGCGGGUCUCUCAUCAUCUCCGUCCUCCUCCCCCCUCGUGUGCUUACACCGGGGCGCAGCCAUGCCGCGCACGGAGAACUUUACGGAGGCGCUGCAGCUCACGCACAACUUUGACCCGAGUGUGUCGCACAGCGCCCGCCUCGAGGCGGAGCGCUACCUGAUGGACCUCCGUGAGAGCGCAGAGGGGCUGAAGCUGAGUUUUCACAUCAUCAGCAACGAGGCGGUGGACGAGCUGCGGUGCUUCUGGGCCUUCAACACGGUCAUGCACCACCUCCCGAUGCUGGCGGCCACGGUGGACGCCGAACAGGCACAGGAGUUUUACCACACGCUCCUCUCUUUCAUUCACCGGUACCUCUUCGCGUCCCCGACCGUGACGCCGAUAGACUAUGUCGUCAACAAGCACGCACAGAUGAUGGUGGUGGGACUGCAGCUGUUCUACCCAGCGCGCUGGCAGUCGAUUUUCGACGAUCUGUUUGAGAUGCUCGACCGCCGCCCGACGAGCCCCUACCUCCCCACCGCCGAUCUUGUGACCAUCUACGUGUUGCGCAUCUUCGAGUACAUUGAUGAGCGUGUUGUCUGUGUGCGGGAUCGACAGGAGCGCGGCAAGCAGCAGCAGGCUCGCGACAUGGAGUUGAAGGACGCGAUGCGUGAACGAGUCCUUCCGAAGGCGGCAGAUAUGUGGUACAACAUACUCCUCAGCGACGCCCGUGCGCGCAACCCCGACAUGGCAAGGCUGUGUCUGAGCGUGAUGCAAACCUACAUUGAGUGGGCCGAUGUGAACCUCUUCAUGACGGAGAACUGGAUCCAUCUCCUGCACUUUCUCCUCACUGUGCCGCCCCUGCAGGUGGCAGCCUGUGAGUGCCUGUUAUCGCUGGUGGAGAAGAAGCAGCUGCCUGGCAUAAAGAUGAGAUCCCUUCGCGCCCUGAGCGUUGUCGACUCGGUGCCACGCAUGAUGUCGCUGUUCGAGCUCCCGCCACCCUCGGAGGCGGCGGUGCUUUUCAUGGAAGCGGCCGCCAAGUUCGCCGUGGCCGUGGCCGGCCAGUUUCUUUCCCUGCUUGACACUUGCGCGUCGCUUGCCCAGCAGCAGCCGGCCACCCGCUCGGCUGCCACGGUUGAGGUAAGUGGUGUGGUGCUGCGUGACGAACCCUUCACCGUCACGGCUGACCUUCUUGACGGGCUCGCCGGCGCAUUGCAUGCCGUCGUUGGGCAGGUGAUUCUAGUGCUGCAGCUGAACCUGUUCGACGUGCAUGAUGCCCUGCUACCCUUUCUGCAGGUCUAUCUCAAGAGUGCGUACCUGCUGGAGUCCGAGGCCGUGGAGCUGCUCGCGACGUUAUUCCACCAAACAAGGAUCCCCGGCGUGGCCUACGACGAGAAUCGCAUCUGGGACGACACGGUCAUUGAUCAGCGGAAGACGCUGCAUAACCUGCUGCGGCUGCUGCACCGCCGUUGGCCUGACCUCGUCAUGUCACAUCUUCACAGUCUUCUCUUGACCGGGCUCAGUCGGCUGAGCGAGGGCGGCGGCGCAGCAAGGGCGUCCACAGCGAAGGAUGACGCGGACUUCACGGAUCCCGAGGUGCUGGAGGCGGCGCUGCGAUACCUCUACGAGAUCGGCGAGUCUCUCCGUCUUGAGAAUCUCAAAGACCCCAAUGACACCAUCACGCAGCUGCUGCAGCGUGUCCUGACGACGGAGGCGGUAGUCAGUGGCGAGGCCACCUGUGUGCACCUGGCCUUCUUUGAAGUGCUAGGCCGCUACUACCUCUUCUUCACGUACCGCCCGGAGUUCAUCCCGUUGCUGCUUCAGCGGCUGCUCCUGCAGCCGUGCGGAGUUAUGAGUUGCAGCGACCGUGUACGGGCCCGCAUCUGCUACUUAUUCGGCUACCUGUUGCAGCUGCUGAAGAGUCAGCUCGGCGCCUACGCGGCGGACAUGGUCAACGCACUGCACAGCAUCGUCACGACAGCGCCGCAGCUGCAGCCCGGCGAUCGCCGCGAGCUCUACGAGGCGAUCGGGAUCCUGCUCAGCAUCUGUAGUGAGGAGGCGAGCCCCGCUCUAGACGGCAGCUCGUCAGAGGCUCUGCGGUUGCUCACUGCCUCGGCCAGCAUGGACGACUACGGCGCCGCGGUGGUCACCAGCGCCGUUCUCGCAGAGGUGGCGCCGCUGCUGGGUCGCAAGGCAGAACUCGUGCACACCGUCGUGGGCUCAGCGCUGCACUCCCUCCAGCAGGCCAGCGCCUCCUGUGCUGGCAUGAACGGCGGCGCGGCAGGCGGUAGCGGCCAUGCUGCCGCUCGGAGUGUCGCAGCGGCGGAGCGUGCCGUGGCGGAUGUCAUCUCCUUCCUGAGCGCUUUAGCGAAGGGACUGGGCAGCACGGAGAGCAGCAGCGGCGCAGGGUCGGCAGCGGGCAGUGGCGCGAGCAACGGAUUGGCGUCGUCUCCGAAUGGCUUCGUGCCUGGUCAGUGGCGCAUGGGCACCAACCCCAACGCGUCCGGCGUAGCCGUUGACGGGCCGCUCGCCGCGUGCGGUGCGCCGUCGGAUGCCCCACUCAGCACCUCGUCGGCGAUGUCGGCGACAGGCUUGCUCGUUGCGCAGAUGUUUCUGCACGUGACGCAGCGGGUGAUGGAGGUGGCGAACCAGAUGGCGGGCAGUGCCGUGUUGCGUGACGCCGUAGGGCAGUUUUUUCAUCAACUCAUUAACACGCUGCCGUACGAGAUGCUUCGGCCUUACAUUGAGGACUACGUCACGGUCUGCCUCAACUGGAUGGAGGCUGUACCGGAGCUGUCGAAGCUGCUGCGGCUGAUGUUUCAGUACGCGAACAAAGCCGGCAAUCGCGGCGUGCUCUCCGUUGCACGGCUUACCUCGCUGCUGUGGCACCGACUUUGCGCGGUUGGUGAGCUGAGCGAGGCGUCGCCGGUGGUGUGCAUGGGCGUGGUAAGCGAGAGCGCACGCGAGCGGGUGAACGUGUACAAGCAGUUCUUCACGUUUCUCUUCAGCGUCUCCACCUGGGGCUGCGUGGCAGCCUUUGCGCUCAUGCCGUCUGCGUGCUGGAUGUCCAUUCUGCGGCAGCUGUGCUACGCGCUGACGUUGCCGACCGAGCUGGAGCUGCCCAAGUCGGCGCUGCAGGUGCUGGAGAAGCUCACACAGGAGCUGACAGAUCCCGUUGUCGCUCAGGCGGUGGCGCAAUACAGCAGCGCCACCGAUGUGGUAGAUGCUGCGACAGCGCAGAGGAAUCAACAGGUCUUCAGCGAGUGCCUCUUGCAGGAAGCCCUGCCCACAGCCUUCGGCGCAUUGGCCGACCCCUCCUUCGACCUCGACGACGCCAAGAAUUUUCUGCUGCUGGGCGAGGUGCUGCAGCUUUUCCGCGUGUUGGUGGCGCGGUACGGUGAACCGGCGAUGCAGGUGUUGUAUGAGCGCGUGGCACCGUAUGUGGGCGAGGCCACAGCGAUGGAGUGUUGUACCGUGAUACGCGACCAACCACGCGUGAACGCGGCGCUGAAGGUAAAGAUGAAGCAGCUGCUGAGUCGCGUGCAUGAGUCUCAACGUCGAACGCCGGCAAACCCCUUGACAUGAUGAGCCGACAGACAUCGCCAUCGAGGCAGCCGCAGCUGCCGCGAGCUCGAGGCACAACAGAACGUACUACAGUGCAGCGCAGAGGUGCCGGUCGUAAAUCGCGCAAGGACCCCUCAUCCCCACGACAGAUUUCGAGUAAACAGUUCGCAGGGGAUGAUGUAGGCGCACGCUAUUCGGGAUGUGGAGCUUGCCCAGGUGGCGCUGCGCAGCGGCCGCCUCAUGAUCAACGAGAUCACUUGCCUAUCGAGGCACGCGCCCGGACGCUCCUCCUCUGUGUACGGCCGCAGCCUCUGCUGCUGCUUCAGAGCUCAUCGGCACGCGCGCACACUUCUACUGUGGUGAAGGCGUGCCUUUUGGACGUGAGAGCGCCGACUACUGCCUCUUGCGCGCGUGCCUCGGGGGACGUGACGGUGCGACGAGAUGGGGGGACGCUAUCUGCGCAUUUCUUUUUUUUUGUCGAGUGGACGUGAGUUCGUUGUUCUACCUGCCAGCGUCGCUUCGCGUAGCCAUCUUCCUCGAGAAGGGGGGGGAGCAGUGACAUUUUCGCUCAUCCCCUCCCCCUCCUCUCCCGCUGCUUCCACUGGCCGUGCCCCCAGAGUAAGCGCCCCGCCCACCCUCCCUCUCUUUUAUGUCUCCACAUGAUGAGACGGGCGGCUGAGGGGACGGAGUGGCAUACACACACACACACACACACACACACACACACACACACUCAUCCUUGCACCUAAGCACAGGCGCAUGCGCGUGCCGAUGCUCUUGGACACACACAGAAGAAGACCUGCUCUACUCCUGCCGGCGUGGCCCUCGUUCUGCGAGCGGCCCGGUCUCGCACCCCCCUCCCCCGCCCGAUGUUUCACGCGCACACAGGGCGGACAAGGAAAGCCAAAGUGUGACGUAAUGGUGUAAGACAAGCGAGGCAGGCUCACCGGCGUCACUGCCGGCUUUCGGUGUAGUCGCGUCUAUGCCACCUGCUCUCUGGCACGCCACCGCUCAACCUACACUGACAAGCAGACUGACAGACACGCACGCACGCGCGCAC